GAUGAACGCUGGCGGCGUGCCUAAUACAUGCAAGUCGAGCGAACAGAUGAGGAGCUUGCUCCUCUGACGCUAGCGGCGGACGGGUGAGUAACACGUGGAUAACCUACCUCUACGACUGGGAUAACUUCGGGAAACCGGAGCUAAUACCGGAUAAUAUAUUGAACCGCAUGGUUCAAUAGUGAAAGACGGUUUUGCUGUCACUUAUAGAUGGAUCCGCGCCGCAUUAGCUAGUUGGUAAGGUAACGGCUUACCAAGGCAACGAUGCGUAGCCGACCUGAGAGGGUGAUCGGCCACACUGGAACUGAGACACGGUCCAGACUCCUACGGGAGGCAGCAGUAGGGAAUCUUCCGCAAUGGGCGAAAGCCUGACGGAGCAACGCCGCGUUAGUGAUGAAGGUCUUCGGAUCGUAAAACUCUGUUAUUAGGGAAGAACAAAUGUGUAAGUAACUAUGCACGUCUUGACGGUACCUAAUCAGAAAGCCACGGCUAACUACGUG
RNAcentral lists this ribosomal RNA (497 nucleotides) under uncultured bacterium. RNAcentral's name for it is "partial 16S ribosomal RNA". It matches the Rfam family "Bacterial small subunit ribosomal RNA", at positions 28 to 507 of the family's 1533-position model. The record is from RNAcentral.